GAACUCUUGGAAGCAAAGUUCCAGAACAGAACCUGAGAACAACAGAAGGAGAACCAGAACAACAACCUGAGUUAACACGAUGCAGGUUUCCUCGACAGCUACGUGAGAGAGUACAGAGAAUCGGGCUUUGGUCGCAGAGGACAUAGGUUGGAAUCUAAUGGCAUGAUCUCGGCCAAGCUACACAACCUGUGUAUUCAGUUCUCCUCUGGCUUAUAAUCGUUUGUACCUCAGAGAAGUGUGCGUGAAGGAGAUAGCAGAGCGUAUUCGAACAAGAAGAACAAAAUGCACGAUUAAUUCCAAAGUCUGUACGAAAAGACUCUAUCCAGCGGGGCUUCCUAUUUACUUAUUUGAAUUUCUGAGAAGUAAAGAUCCAACGGUCACAACGCAUGAAGCCCACGUAUCUACACAGAGUAACUGAGCCGUGCGGUACCAAGAGACAGCAGGUGGAGACAAAACUUGCCAUGUAGCUCAUUAUACUAAGCUGCGGAGGAACCCUGCACGCACAACACACACCUCGUCGGCUCCUGGGCCCCAGGUCACCUGUGCGCACCGUCCCGGGAGUGUGUACCACGCUCUUCCCCUGCGUGUGCAUGUUUUGGUGAUCAGAUUAUUUAAUACAAUGAUCUGGUUAUAAAAGUUCAAGUAGUGAGCAUAAAGGGAGGGUCUUAGGUAUCGAGGGGAAACUGGAAAUAACAAAAUGCUUUAAAAGAUACGAGAAGGGGAGAGGAGGUAGGAGGGCCAAAGGAGUCCUCAUUAGAGACAGUGCUGGAGGGAGAAAGAGAGAGAAAGGAAAGCUGAGGCCAUCGUGGUGGGUGUGCUGGCUGGUUGCGUGGUUGUUAAACUAUUGCUCUCAGCUCCAGACCCACCCUUUGUGCUUUGCUUGUAGAGCAAACUACGUUUUCACUUUGCCCUUUGGUGACUGCUCCUCGUUAGGCCCACACCAAUCGAAGGUGCUAGAGAAAGAUUUAAAGUCGGAAGAACGGCAGUUGGUUCCGGUCUCCGGUCAUCUUGCUGUCCUGGCAUCUGGCCCGUUUUACCAGUUCAGAGGUACCAGUUCCUCCUGAUCAGAGAGCUGAGUUCCAGCUCUGGGGAGGAGGGGGCCCCUUCUCUAAGUUCCCGAGGCAUCACCACCAGCCAGGCAUCCCUCCUUCCUCUAGGACGAACAACCAUCUGGUCUCCCUGGGACUCUCUUGGUUUUAGCAUGAAAAAUCGGUGUCCCAGAGCAACUGGGAUGGUUGGUCACCCUACUUCUCCUCAGAGGUCUGGUCCCACCAAGUGACGCUCCCACUUCAUUUCUUUUUCCAUCUCAGAAGAUGCUUCCAGAAGUUGCCUGAGACUUCCCCCUUUGGCUUUUUAGUCAUCCAUCACCUGCUUCACCAAUCCCUUGUAUUAAAUUCUCACUCUUAAAAUAACUUGUAUGGUAGUUAUCAGCUACUUUAAAGGUGUUUUAGAAGCACCUUCAGGGGACCGAAGAUCAUGGCUUAAUGCCAAACCACAAAUACAAAUACAACAAACUAGCACUUUGUGUCACAAAAAGAGGGAACGGGCCCAAACCCAAAAGCUGGAUUUCUAAUUUAAGUCAGCAUAGAAGUAAGAAGUACGGAACGUCGAGCCAUGGCUAUCCACCGUGGGUGUCGCAACAUUUCGUCUUAAAAAUUAGGAUGGCCUUCUUCCAGCCCUUCCUCGUAAUUCAGAAGCCAGACUAGCUCACCUACCUCCUUCCACUAAACGAAAUUUAUGCAAUUUGUCAAGGAAAUGUGUCAAAUAAUGCGUUAUUUUAAAACAUGUAUUAAGAAUCCAAGAUGUUUACAACUCUGGUAGCAU
Panthera uncia (snow leopard) is the source of this 1824-nucleotide long non-coding RNA. RefSeq lists it as uncharacterized. The transcript is spliced from 4 exons. NCBI's taxonomy places the organism in Eukaryota, Metazoa, Chordata, Mammalia, Carnivora, Felidae. The record is from RefSeq and is a predicted model, not a curated record.